UGGAUGGUUGGCCGAAGUGGUAAGGCACCCGCUUGCUAAGCGGAGGUCGACGUCAGUCGAGCAGGUUCAACUCCUGCACCAUCCGU
Molecule: transfer RNA, 86 nt
Filed under: Virus Rctr197k
Lineage: Duplodnaviria; Heunggongvirae; Uroviricota; Caudoviricetes
Description: tRNA-Ser
Rfam family: tRNA
About the family: Transfer RNA (tRNA) molecules are approximately 80 nucleotides in length. Their secondary structure includes four short double-helical elements and three loops (D, anti-codon, and T loops). Further hydrogen bonds mediate the characteristic L-shaped molecular structure. tRNAs have two regions of fundamental functional importance: the anti-codon, which is responsible for specific mRNA codon recognition, and the 3' end, to which the tRNAs corresponding amino acid is attached (by aminoacyl-tRNA synthetases). tRNAs cope with the degeneracy of the genetic code in two manners: having more than one tRNA (with a specific anti-codon) for a particular amino acid; and 'wobble' base-pairing, i.e. permitting non-standard base-pairing at the 3rd anti-codon position.
Source: RNAcentral